CCUCAGUCUCUUGAGUCUCAUGCACCGGUUCAAGUAUCUGGUGUGACCUAAAGUUGAAUGAUGUUUUUCUAUCAAUUACAACGUGCUUUAAAACCUGAGGCUCAGCGAUAUAUAUUAGCACUGGGAGUCUGUGCUGUUUUGAAGGAAUAAGGCUUGGUGAGCAUACAGCAAGCAGAUCAAGCACCCAGUGAGAGAGAAGUGACAUUUACGAAGAAUGGAAUAUGAGUGCGAGACAUCCUCUCUUCUCAGAUAUUGACGGAGCUCCACAGCCUGGAGUUGGCCACUUCUCAGCUUCAAAUAUGCUAGACCUUUGGAGCCUUUGUACUUGAGUUUACUCCUCACUCCUGCAGUGUCCUGCUCACACACAUGGUGCCUUAUUUUCUCCAUCUCCCUUCAUGGGAACCACUUCUAUUCUGCUCCAAGUUGUGGUAAAAAACCUUGAGACAUCCUUGUCAAUCCAACACACACUGACUGCCUGUAUCUGGGGAAUCAUGGUAAUACAGCCCUGUGUGGUUCUGGAAGCUUCUGUCUAUUAUGGAAUACUGUACCCCUUGAAUCCCUUGAGUGGUUCCUUGUUCCUGUCAUCUCUCCA
Non-coding RNA from Odocoileus virginianus texanus, 592 nucleotides. The record is from RefSeq and is a predicted model, not a curated record. Lineage: Eukaryota; Metazoa; Chordata; Mammalia; Artiodactyla; Cervidae.